UACAGAGGUCUCAAGCGUUGUUCGGAUUCAUUGGGCGUAAAGGGUGCGUAGGUGGCGGGGUAAGUCAGGUGUGAAAUCUCGAGGCUCAACCUCGAAACUGCACUUGAUACUGCCUUGCUAGAGUACUGGAGAGGAGAUUGGAAUUUACGGUGUAGCAGUGAAAUGCGUAGAUAUUAGGAAGAACACCGGUGGCGAAGGCGGCCAUCUGGCUCGGUACUGACGCUCAGGCGCGAAAGCGUGGGGAGCAAACAGG
This 253-nucleotide ribosomal RNA is filed under the name uncultured bacterium. RNAcentral's name for it is "partial 16S ribosomal RNA". It matches the Rfam family "Bacterial small subunit ribosomal RNA", at positions 524 to 776 of the family's 1533-position model. The record is from RNAcentral.